ACAACAACAAAAUCAUUAACAGUGUUUUAGAUUAGUUCAUGCCUUCCUUCCUCCAUUUCAAUUUCACGAUUUUGUUCAGUGCACAGUCUCGCGGAAAAGUAAACAAAAACAGCGAUUGUGAGGAACAAAUUUCCAAUCCAGAAAUCCCAUAAUGCGAUUUUGUCGGUGCGUUCAUAUGAUGGCAGUAACACCGAUGGUAGCCAGGUAUCGAUGCGGAAAGAUAAUAAGCUGGCCAACAGACACAGGAGGAUAGAAUGCAGAAAAUUGCUGUGAAAUUACAGAAAAAAACGGAAAAUCCAGGAGAUUGAACCCUUGAACCGCCCAAAGAAGCUGCGCAAUUAAUGCAACUGCAGGGGAACGCAACCAGGGGCAAAUUCUGCAACAACAGGAACAAUUUAAAACGCCGGUCUUCUCAGCAAUCGAUUCCUCUUGCUCAAUAUUGAAGCAACAAUAAAGUUUUAAACAAGUUCGCGAAAAGCAAAAAACUAUCAAGCCAACUUGCGUUCCCGGAACUGGAUGCAAUCGGUAGCUCGUACCGUCUCCCAUGGUUUGGUGAGACAAAAGGAAACUAUCUUCAGCUGCGGCGGUCCGAUGAAGACCCUGGCGAAUAGGAACUAGAGUUGAACCUACAAACUGUCCGACGUUUACCUGAAGAAGGAUGUUUAUUCGACCGGAUGUUUGCAAGACCAGUGGAAGCUACGGAUCUGUACGAUUAGCAAACGUUGGUGAAGCUAUCUGUGGUCGCGACACAGCUGUAUGCCAUUUCCUAGCUUGAGUUCAUAAAUGAUUCAUGCUUGCUGGUCGGCAUAUAAUAAAGCUAAACCGGAUAUGUUUAUUGGCCAGCAAUUCGUUUGAAAAAGCGACUUUUCGAGGGCGAAUUGAAUAAGGAAUUAUCGCCCAAAUCGUAUUAUGCAGUUGAUCUCCAGAGAAGCAUAAUGGGCUCGACAGAUGCGAUUGCAAUUGCUUCCGUAGACUUGCUGGUUGAAGGUUGGGAAAAAGUGAAUUUUGCGGUUGUUGCCCACGUCGCCAGGAGAGAAUUUUCAAGGUGCAAGUUAGCCCUUUCGGACAAAUAAACGAAUUCAAAAUUCGAAAAAAUCA
Uranotaenia lowii is the source of this 1098-nucleotide long non-coding RNA. RefSeq lists it as uncharacterized. Lineage: Eukaryota; Metazoa; Arthropoda; Insecta; Diptera; Culicidae. The record is from RefSeq and is a predicted model, not a curated record. The transcript is spliced from 5 exons.